AUGGAGCUUUAGACACCAGGCAGAUCACGUCAAACAACCUUGAAUUAACAAGUAAAAACGCAGUGACCCCUAGCCCAUAUGUCUUUGGUUGGGGCGACCGCGGGGGAAAAUUAAGCCCCCAUGUGGACUGAGGGCACUGCCCCCACAGCCAAGAGCCACAGCUCUAAGCACCAGAAUAUCUGACCAAAAAUGAUCCGGCAAACGCCGAUCAACGGACCG
RNAcentral lists this ribosomal RNA (219 nucleotides) under Oncorhynchus tshawytscha (Chinook salmon). RNAcentral describes it as "partial 16S ribosomal RNA". Lineage: Eukaryota; Metazoa; Chordata; Actinopteri; Salmoniformes; Salmonidae. The record is from RNAcentral.